GAGUAGUCCUGCAAUAAAUGAUCAUUGAAACGACAUCCACAAAUCGUAACUUGAUGGUUCUUGUUUUUCAGAAGGAGGCAGGAGAGAGCAGACUCCCCUGGACCCAGCUGUGUCUCCAUGAAGAGUGACUGGUCCAUGGAUAACCCUCCUGACCUUAAAGAUGGACGCCCCUCCAGAGAGGAGAGACCAAACCAGAAGAAUUCAAAGGUUACCAGGCCUGUACAGCAGCAUCAAACAGAGCUGAUCAAGAGGGCUGAGGAGAACGCACACGCUUUCCUAGACAAGGAGCU
Long non-coding RNA from Gadus morhua (Atlantic cod), 290 nucleotides. RefSeq lists it as uncharacterized. The record is from RefSeq and is a predicted model, not a curated record. Lineage: Eukaryota; Metazoa; Chordata; Actinopteri; Gadiformes; Gadidae. The transcript has 3 exons.